RNAcentral lists this ribosomal RNA (29 nucleotides) under Didymella pinodella. RNAcentral describes it as "partial 18S ribosomal RNA". The record is from RNAcentral. Lineage: Eukaryota; Fungi; Ascomycota; Dothideomycetes; Pleosporales; Didymellaceae.
UAGUAGGUGAACCUGCGGAAGGAUCAUUA